AUUGAACGCUGGCGGCAGGCCUAACACAUGCAAGUCGAGCGAGUGGCGGACGGGUGAGUAAUGUCUGGGAAACUGCCUGAUGGAGGGGGAUAACUAAUGGAAACGGUAGCUAAUACCGCAUACCAUCAGAUGUGCCCAGAUGGGAGUAGCUAGUUGGUGGGGUAACGGCUCACCAGGGCGACGAUCCCUAGCUGGUCUGCGAGGAUGACCAGCCACACUGGAACUGAGACACGGUCCAGACUCCUACGUGAGGCAGCAGUGGGUAAUAUUGCACAAUGGGCGCAAGCCUGAUGCAGCCAUGCCGCGUGUGUGAAGAAGGCCUUCGGGUUGUAAAGCACUUUCAGCGGGGAGGCGUUACUCGCAGAAGAAGCACCGGCUAACUCCGUGCCAGCAGCCGCGGUAAUUC
This 406-nucleotide ribosomal RNA is filed under the name uncultured bacterium. Its description in RNAcentral is "partial 16S ribosomal RNA". It matches the Rfam family "Bacterial small subunit ribosomal RNA", at positions 30 to 526 of the family's 1533-position model. The record is from RNAcentral.